UCGAGCGAGAAAGGGUAGCAAUAUCCUGAGUAAAGCGGCGCACGGGUUGAGUAACACGUGGGUAAUCUGCCCUGGAGUGGGGAAUAACACCGGGAAACCGGUGCUAAUACCGCAUACGAUAGCGAGGUCUGCGGACUUUGUUAUGAAAGGAGCAAUUCGCUCUAGGAGGAGCCCGCGGCUGAUUAGCUAGUUGGUGAGGUAAUGGCUCACCAAGGCUACGAUCAGUAUCCGGUCUGAGAGGACGGUCGGACACACUGGAACUGAGACACGGUCCAGACUCCUACGGGAGGCAGCAGUGGGGAAUUUUUGGCAAUGGGGGCAACCCUGACCAAGCAACGCCGCGUGGGUGAUGAAGUAUCUCGGUACGUAAAACCCUUUCGACGGGGAAGAAAACCGCAAGGUUUGACGGUACCCGUAGAAGAAGCCCCGGCUAACUCCGUGCCAGCAGCCGCGGUAAUACGGGGGGGGCGAGCGUUGUUCGGAAUUACUGGGCGUAAAGGGUGCGUAGGCGGUGCUCUAAGUCGGAUGUGAAAACUCUGGGCUCAACCCAGAGCCUGCAUCCGAAACUGGAGUGCUAGAGUUCUGGAGGGGGUAGCGGAAUUCCUGGUGUAGCGGUGAAAUGCGUAGAUAUCAGGAGGAACACCGGUGGCGAAGGCGGC
RNAcentral lists this ribosomal RNA (659 nucleotides) under uncultured bacterium. RNAcentral describes it as "bacterial SSU rRNA". It matches the Rfam family "Bacterial small subunit ribosomal RNA", at positions 62 to 725 of the family's 1533-position model. The record is from RNAcentral.